RNAcentral lists this ribosomal RNA (466 nucleotides) under uncultured bacterium. RNAcentral's name for it is "partial 16S ribosomal RNA". It matches the Rfam family "Bacterial small subunit ribosomal RNA", at positions 28 to 507 of the family's 1533-position model. The record is from RNAcentral.
GACGAACGCUGGCGGCGCGCCUAACACAUGCAAGUCGAACGAGCGAGAGAGAGCUUGCUUUCUCAAGCGAGUGGCGAACUGGUGAGUAACGCGUGAGGAACCUGCCUCAAAUAGUGGGACAACAGUUGGAAACGACUGCUAAUACCGCAUAAGCCCACAGCUCGGCAUCGACCAUAGGGAAAAGGAGCAAUCCGCUUUGUGAUGGCCUCGCGUCCGAUUAGCUAGUUGGUGAGGUAACGGCCCACCAAGGCAACGAUCGGUAGCCGGAAUGAGAGGUUGAACGGGCACAAUGGGAAUGAGACACGGCACAGAAUACUACGGGAGGAAGGAGAGGGGAAUAUAGAAAAAAGGGGGAAAGCAAGAAGCAGCGACGCGGCGUGGAGGAAGAAGGUAUUCGGAAAGAAAACUAGUGUUGUUGAGGAAGAUAAUGACGGUACUCAACAAGGAAGUGACGGCUAACUACGUG